CAAGUGUCCCAGGGUGAGGGGCAGGCGGGCCUUUCAAGCCGCGCCUCGGGCAGAUUAGUACCCGGUCAGGUGGCAGGGCAGGCUGACCUUGCGGGUCAUGCCUUGGCGGGCAGGGGUGCAUCCCCCAGGCCACGACGCUACAGAAGGCGCAGGUCAUGUGGCAGAUUCCGCAGGAGGGGGUCCCCUAGCGGGUCAAGGAGUGCCUGCUCCUCCCCAGUUCAGAGCAUCAGCA
This is a non-coding RNA of Pelobates cultripes (western spadefoot toad), 232 nucleotides long. Lineage: Eukaryota; Metazoa; Chordata; Amphibia; Anura; Pelobatidae. The record is from the annotation of a GenBank genome assembly.